AGAGCGAACGCUGGCGGCAGGCCUAACACAUGCAAGUCGAGCGCCCGUAGCAAUACGGGAGCGGCAGACGGGAUAGUAACACGUGGGAACGCGCCCUUCGGUUCGGAAUAACUCAGGGAAACUUGAGCUAAUACCGAAUACGCCCUUACGGGGAAAGAUUUAUUGCCGAAGGAACGGCCCGCGUCCGAUUAGCUAGUUGGUGAGGUAAUGGCUCACCAAGGCUACGAUCGGUAGCUGGUCUGAGAGGAUGACCAGCAUCACUGGGACUGAGACACGGCCCAGACUCCUACGGGAGGCAGCAGUGGGGAAUAUUGGACAAUGGGCGCAAAGCCUGAUCCAGCCAUGCCGCGUGGAUGAUGAAGGCCUUAGGGUUGUAAAGUCCUUUUAACGGGGAAGAUAAUGACGGUACCCGUAGAAUAAGCCCGGCUAACUUCGUGCCAGCAGCCGC
RNAcentral lists this ribosomal RNA (448 nucleotides) under uncultured bacterium. RNAcentral's name for it is "SSU rRNA". It matches the Rfam family "Bacterial small subunit ribosomal RNA", at positions 26 to 518 of the family's 1533-position model. The record is from RNAcentral.